UCCAACCCUCAUCCUCCCCCAGGUAGAGAGCCGGUUCCCUUGCGCAGAAGGUAAAAGGCGCCAGGUCCACCCUAAGGUCAGUGUCUUUCUCUCUACACCUGCAGAUGGCGCUCUCCGGUUUGCUUUGGCUCACAGCCCCACGAACGCGCACUAACUUCAUGUGUGGAGCGAAAAAAGAAAACAGUUGGCGCACUCAAAGGGAACAGCUCCCAGGCCUUGGUGGCAAGGAACCCUCAAAUACUGUUAGUUCAUUUAGUCUUGGACUCCCUUCAAGGAGGUAGCAAACCCAAAAUUGGCGAGAGGCAAGGAAUCCCAUACUUUGUAUAUGAGACUUAAUGCACAGUGGGCAAGGGGUUUACUCACACUUCAGACUCUGCAUGAAUCCCUGAGGAAUGAAGACCCUACCAGGACAACUUACCAGUCCUUGAAGGCCUAGAACUCGCCCCCCACCUCACCCCAGCACCCACCCCUGGAUCCUUUUCCCAGCACUGAAGUAGUUGGACACUUGCCUUCCCAUCUAGAUCAACCCCUGCAAGCUUCCUCUGUAUUUUGGACCCAUCCCUGGGUGGAGAAAGUCAAAAAGCAGUGCUCCCUCACCACUGUAGACUCCUUUCAGCUGAGAUUGUCACUUCUCCUGGGGCCUAGGUUUUCUCUCCAAGCUUUGGCCUCUCUCUCUAAUACUUCCUUCCCCUUUCUUCUUCAUCUUCUAUAGGAGGGAGUGGGGAAGCAAUAGGGGUGGGGGAGAAGAAAGGAGGAAAGAGAAAAAGAAAGAGAAAGAAAACAACCCAGCUCCAAAUACAACCCAGUCUGCGACCUGUCAGGGUUGGUUGCUUUUUCCGUCUGCCUCUAAAUGAACCUUUUCUCUCUAGAGUUUUCAAAGCAGCCCUUUCCACUGCCACCCCCCAACCUAGGGGCAUUUACACUUCAAACAAGGCACCCGCCUCCCUGCGGAAAUUUAAAGGCAAAUAAACUUUUGGGGAGUUGCUCUGAUACCCAUCUCAGGAUUUGCUUCAUUAGCCACCCCUGUGUAUCUGAUCUGCCCAAUAAAUCUUCCUUGUGGAUCUCA
This is a long non-coding RNA of Erinaceus europaeus (western European hedgehog), 1066 nucleotides long. RefSeq lists it as uncharacterized. The transcript has 2 exons. The record is from RefSeq and is a predicted model, not a curated record. Lineage: Eukaryota; Metazoa; Chordata; Mammalia; Eulipotyphla; Erinaceidae.